CACUACGAACGGGUGGAGCCUGCGGUUUUAAUUGGUAUUCAACGCCGGAAACUCGUCGACCGGGGCGACAGCAAUAUGAAGGUCAGGCUGAAGACCUUACCCGAUUAGCUGAGAGGUGGUGCAUGGCCGUCGUCAGUUCGUACUGUGAAGCAUCCUGUUAAGUCAGGCAACGAGCGAGACCCACGUCCACAGUUGCCAGCAUACCCUCCGGGGUGAUGGGUACACUGUGGAGACCGCCGCUGCUAAAGCGGAGGAAGGAGUGGGCAACGGUAGGUCAGUAUGCCCCGAAUCUCCCGGGCUACACGCGGGCUACAAUGGUUGGUACAAUGGGCAUCUACCCCGAAAGGGGAAGGAAAUCUCUUAAAGCCAAUCGUAGUUCGGAUUGAGGGCUGCAACUCGCCCUCAUGAAGCUGGAAUCCGUAGUAAUCGCGUUUCAACAGAACGCGGUGAAUACGUCCCUGCUCCUU
RNAcentral lists this ribosomal RNA (467 nucleotides) under uncultured Methanosaeta sp. RNAcentral's name for it is "bacterial SSU rRNA". It matches the Rfam family "Archaeal small subunit ribosomal RNA", at positions 877 to 1338 of the family's 1478-position model. The record is from RNAcentral. Lineage: Archaea; Methanobacteriati; Methanobacteriota; Methanomicrobia; Methanotrichales; Methanotrichaceae.